RNAcentral lists this ribosomal RNA (467 nucleotides) under uncultured bacterium. Its description in RNAcentral is "partial 16S ribosomal RNA". It matches the Rfam family "Bacterial small subunit ribosomal RNA", at positions 28 to 507 of the family's 1533-position model. The record is from RNAcentral.
GAUGAACGCUGGCGGCGUGCUUAACACAUGCAAGUCGAACGGAAAGGCUCCUGCUUGCCGGGGUACUCGAGUGGCGAACGGGUGAGUAACACGUGGGUGAUCUGCCCUGCACUUCGGGAUAAGCCUGGGAAACUGGGUCUAAUACCGGAUAGGACCACGUUUUGGAUGGUGUGGUGGAAAGUUUUUCGGUGUGGGAUGAGCUCGCGGCCUAUCAGCUUGUUGGUGGGGUAAUGGCCUACCAAGGCGUCGACGGGUAGCCGGCCUGAGAGGGUGUACGGCCACAUUGGGACUGAGAUACGGGCCAGACUCCUACGGGAGGCAGCAGUGGGGAAUAUUGCACAAUGGGCGCAAGCCUGAUGCAGCGACGCCGCGUGGGGGAUGACGGCCUUCGGGUUGUAAACUCCUUUCGCUAGGGACGAAGCGUUUUUGUGACGGUACCUGGAGAAGAAGCACCGGCUAACUACGUG